RNAcentral lists this long non-coding RNA (6162 nucleotides) under Salvia miltiorrhiza (redroot sage). RNAcentral describes it as "long non-coding RNA (SMIL_LNC006189)". Lineage: Eukaryota; Viridiplantae; Streptophyta; Magnoliopsida; Lamiales; Lamiaceae. The record is from RNAcentral.
AAGCGUCGCCGAUAAAUUAAUGCUAGCCUUUGGAAUGAACAUCAUCGAUCACGGGGAGAGCUCGGCUGCCAGCGAUAACAAGAAGAAAUUUACCUUCCCCGAAUUUGAGAUCGGAGACUGUUUUGUGGGGAUGGAGGAUGAGCUGAAGCAGCUUCGUGAUCUCCUAAAACAAGACAACGAGGAGAGAGUUAUAUCAGUGUGGGGAAUGGGGGGAUCAGGCAAGACCACCAUUGCCAAAAAGCUCUACAACGAGACCAAGACCAGCUUUGAUCUUUCCGCAUGGGUUUGCAUUAGUCAGCAAUGCCAGAGUUUUCAAUCAGUUUGGAAUGAUGUUCUCAAGCAGCUAGAGCAUCAAAGCAGGAAGGGUGUAAGUGAUGAGCCACAACAAAUAAGGGAGGACGUUGUUCCAAAUCUGAGCGAAUCGGAGUUGAAUGAGCGACUAUGCAAGAUACAAAGAGACAAGCGUUGCCUCAUUGUUGUGGACGAUCUUUGGAAAGUUGCUGAUUGGAAUGGGUUGAAGCAUCCCUUCCUCGUUGAUAAUUUGCAAAGCAAAAUCUUAAUCACCACGCGCAAAGAGGAAGUUGCAAAGAUUGGAUGCCCCAGUAAAAAGUUGGGGCUUCUAAAAAGAGGAAGAUGCUUUGGAACUACUCAAGAACAAAGCCUUUCCACAUACCAAUAUUCCAGGUCAGUUGUGUGUAUGUAUAAUAGGGUGCUUUAGUUUCUAUAUCACAGUUACUUGAAUUUUACUCUAGUAUAAAUUAAUAUUUAAAGAUACCUGCUAUAGUUCUUCUUGCAUCAUCGAUCCAAAAAUGAGAUGUCUAAUUAAGUUAUAAAGUUGACUACAUUCAAUUAAAUGUCAUUUGUAUUUCAAUACAGAUUUGCAUUUGAGAAAAUUGGGAAAGAAAUGGUGCAGAAAUGUGGGUAUUUGCCAUUGGCAUUUCUUUCUCGGUGGGUCUUGAGAAUGAAAAAUUCAUGAGGAUGGGAGUUAGUAAAUAGGAUAUCAAAGAAGCCAUAUAUAGAGAUGAAAGUGAGAUUGAUGGAGUGCUAAAUUUAAGCUAUGAAAGUCUACCCUAUUAUUUGAAGCCUUGCUUUCUCUAUAUGGGUUUAUUUAGAGGACAAGAAUAAUGUGCAGAAUCUAUAAUGUGGAUGCACAAGCAGAUUUCAUAUGAGAAUUGAGCAAGGACAAAACUUUGAGAAAUAGCGGAGCUCUACUUGGGUGAGUUGGUCCAGGUCCAUGUCCAAGUGAAAUUAGUGGUGGUUUCAAUGAGAAAUAAAUGCAAACUUCAUGAUGUAGUAAGAGAACUAUGUUUGAAAUUGGGGGAAAGGGAGGAUUUCGGUGUCGAUUUGGAGUAUCAAAGUGGGAAACUUAAGUACCUUACUCGCAAGCUUCCUCCAUAUGAAAAUACGACAUUUGGCUAUCCAUUCAGAACAAGAGAGUCAAUGGAACCGCGAGCUUGGAGAAGAUAGUAGCAAACAUUUAAGGUCACUUCAAAUGUUCAAUCACAGUUAUUCUGAUGAGUAUCCUUGGCAACGUAUAGUUGAUUUUCAGAAAUUCAAAUUGUUGAGAGAUCUUGUUAUGGUGGGAUUUGAAUUUGCAGGAAGAAAGUUACCGAAAGAAAUCACUAAUCUUGUUCACCUUAGACGUUUGUAUUUAAAAAGAUGUGAAUUUGAUAAGAUACCGUUGUCCAUAAGGAAUUUGGUAUACAUGGAUACACUUGAUUUAUAUGCUUCGUGGAAUGUUGAAGUUCCAAAUGUUUUUAAGGAGUUGGUACAUUUAAAGCACUUGAUUCUUCCCUAUUAUGGGAAGGAAAAUAUUGGAAGUCAUAUAUUAACAUUGGACGAGGGAGUGGUUGAGUUGGAGAGUCUGAUGGCAUUGGAUAGUAGAGUGCAUGAAUUAAAAUGUCUGAACAAAAUGAAGAAUCUACGAAGAUUCUCAACAAGUAUACACGACAACAAAUGCUUGUCAGCCAUAAUCGACGCCAUUGCUAUCAUGGACAAGUUAUCCUUUUGUAGGGUUAGAAUAGAAGAGGGUUGUGAGUUAGGAAGAAAUGAGGGAGUGUUGAAAAAGGCAUUCACAUGUCCCAAUCUUCAUAAUUUGAUGAUUCAAGUUAAGUUGGGGAAGGCGCUGCCAGAGUGCUGCAAGCGUGACUUCAUGAGCUCUAAACUUACGAGUUUGUGGCUGUCAAAAUGUGAGAUUGAGGAUGAUCCAAUGGGGAUACUGGGGAACCUUCCUUGCUUGAUAUAUUUGUAUUUAAGGAGGAAAUCAUUUGUGGGGGAGGAGAUGACGUGUCCAUCAAACAGUUUUCCUCGCCUCAAGGUGCUUGUGCUAUCUCAAUUACCAAAGUUGAGGGAGUGGAGAGUGGAGGCAGGAGCCAUGCCCCUUCUCUCUGAAUUGGAGAUCUAUCAUUGUUCCAGUCUGAAGAUGCUUCCACAUGGUUUGAGUGGCAUUUCUACUCUUCGGAAACUGAAGAUUGCUGGAAUGGCGGAAAUGGGGAAGAGGGUAUCGGCAUCAGGAGAGGAUUUCCACAAAAUCAGCCAUGUCCCUUCAAUUAUCAUCCAAGACUAGUGUAGUCUCCACCCACCCAGAAAAGGUAUCUCAUUUCUCUCUCAUUUUCAAUAUUAGUUUUUAAUAUUACCUUUCACCGUAUUUGUAAUUACCAAGCUGGUUCAUAGAGUUAACUGUUUGUCAUUUAGCAUCAGAACUAUAUUAGUUUUUUUUUUUUUUAUGUUUAAUUUGUUUUUGGUUAGUUAGUAUUUGUUCGUUAAAAGCUUAUAAUUAACCUCUUCCAAAGUGUUUGGCAUAAUAAAAUCAUGAAUAACUUAUAACAUGUAAAAUAACCUCUAAGCUACCCCAAAAAAAAAUGUUCACCAACCCCAUCUUAUAUUUUCAUUAUCUUAUAAGUAACGAUUAAUUUACAAAAUAAUUCUACUAAGUUUUGUUACUUUUAAUAUAUAUCUUUCUCAUUUCAUUGCUUUCGUCUAUGAUUAUUAUCCUUCUAUGUAUCACAAUUCUUAAUUAUAAGCUUAAUUAUCCAAAUACUUUGACAAUUUAUAAGCUCUCAAGACAUAUCAUAAAUAUUAGACAUAUUAUAAAUAUUCUCAAACUCAUUAUUAUGUUUUUAUAUUCAUCAGUAGCUUUUUUAUUAUUGUCGAUUUCCAGGUUGAGCAUUGGUUUUCUGGAAGGUAUGUUCUUCGGUAAGGUUUUAAUGAAGCUCAGCUCAUUGUUAAGGUUGACAUCGUCCUUAUUUAUUUUUUAAUUUUACUUUUUAUUUUAUUUGUUUAUUUAUUUCAUUUUUUUUUGUCGUGUUGUCAGGUCAAAUUUCUUCCCCGUUCGAGUUGCAGUGUCGUUGCUACAUUUCUCAAGUCUUCCUCUUUGUACUCUUUUCUCUGCAAAAAAAUGUUUUUCUUAGUUAUGUAAUUGUGUGUGAGGAAAUGUUUAGAAUCCGGGUAAUUUAAAGUUGUGUUGGUUAAUAAGAGAUAUACUGUAUUCAAAGUGGUGUUAUGUUUGAAUUGAAUUGAUGGUUUGUAAUGCCUAGCUAAUCAAGUUGUUGCUAUUCUACGUUAUAUAUUCUGCUCUGAUGAAAUGUUUUGCUUUAAUUAUUUAUGUAAUCAUUUUAUUAUUGAGUGAAAUGAACUUACAACUUGCUUUUGCAAGAACAUUUUCACUCAUUUCCAAGAACACAAGCCUUCCUAAUAUUUACAUCCACACAUAUAUGUAUAAGGAUUAAUUAUGCUUUGUGUCCCAACUUUCAGUGUUUUUAAGAAAAAUGUCUUCAACUUUCGUUUUUUAUUAAACAUGUACAACUCCAUUUUUAACGUUUUCCAAAAAAUAUCCUGCUAUACAAGAUUAGGCAAUAGAAUGCGCUAGCAAUUAGGGAAUCAUCAAAAGCAGCCAUGUGAUGUGAGGGUAUGCAUCACUAGGAAGGCACUUAUAUCUGUGUCACAUGCUUUGCAUUGGCUGCAAAGAAGACCACUCCUCAUACGUGCAACAUCAGCCGCCACGGCUGCUUGAACGACAGCUAGGGCUAUCGCUAGAGAAACGAAGUAGCUUCGUUUACUUUGUUCUUCUCUGAAACGAGGCUUCGAUUCUCAUUAAUUAUUAAUCUUAAAUUCAUGACAUUAAUAAUCCCGAAGAUUUAUUUUUUGAAUUGCAAGCUGAUACAAAUGUGUUGUCAUCAUAAUAAAGUCGAUUGGUAAAGUUAUUGAAUUUGUUAAAACUUCGCAUUGUUUCUCUUAUUUUUAUAAUAUAUAGGAUAUUGUUAACUAUACCGGUCACUAUAUACCAUUUUAUGCAUUGAAAAUAAGGUAUGAAAACACUUGAUCUUCAAGUUGUUAUUGUUGAUGAUUUAAUUUUUCGAAAUGUUAGAUUCUUAUAAAACACUUGAUGAACAUGUUCACGAUCUAACGAGCCAAAUACUACUAAGCUCAAGUUUGGUUUGUUUAUUUAUCGAGCUUCUCUAAAUGAAUUUGAACGAACUUUUUUUGAGCCGAGCUCCGAAUAGUUCGCGAGCGGCUUGGUUAAUUUACAGCCCUAGCUAGAGCUGGAACGUGGGUUUCCUUAGCACUUUGGUUGGUGCGGCUGAUGUUCAAAAAGUGAUUAAUUCCCAUUCUCCCUAAUCCAUGUUCGGAUAAGCUUAUUUGGCACUUCUUGGAUAAUGGGAGGUAUUCGGUGAAAAUUGCCUAUAAGUUAGCAAGAGCUCUUACGCACGAUGAUUCCUAUAGUGUCGAGGGACAUUGGAGGUUAGGAACUUUCUUUGGCGAGCUGCGAGGAACCGACCAAGGAAAAUCUUCUCUCUCGUGGUAUUACUGUUGGGGGCAAGUGCCCGAUUUGUCGUUCGGGCUUUGAGAAUUUGUGGCACAUCUUCUUCUACUGCCCUUUUGCGGAAGAUUGUUGGCGUGUUGGUCAUUUAAAAAGGCAAAUAUCUGUAUGCUAUUAUGGCAAAUCUGGAAGGAGUGCAUGCAAUGCUGUUGUUUGGCGCGACACUACCCGCUCGGUGCUCAUGGCUGUUGAGUGCCGAAAAGAAUGGUAUCGUCAUGUUAAGCGAGAUCAUAAUGCUAUCGCUCAUUCUUUAGCGAAAGCGGCGAGGGAUAUAAGUACACAACAUGUUUGGGAUGAACCUCCGGCCUUUGUGGUGGGUCAUCUCCAUUUACCAUGCUCUUGUGAUCAAUAAUAUUAUCCUCUCGUUCUCUAAAAAAAAAAAGUGGAUAUUUGUUAUAAGAAUAAAAGUUCAAAUAAUUAAUGAUUAUAUUGAGGAAUUAAAAGACAAAAAAUCUUAAGAGUUGGGAAAUUUAGAAAAAUAUGCAUUGACUACUGGUGAAAGGUAGGUGUACCCAGGGGCGGACGCACCUAGAGUCAAGGGAAGGCAAUUGCCACCUCUUGAUUUUUGAUAUGAAAUAUCUAUAGUACCCCUCUCAAAUAUCUAUAACUUUCGCUAUCUAGCUUAGCAAAUCAGAGUGUUCACUGACAACCAAACAAUCAAAGCUUCGAAUUGUUGCAAUGGCAGAAGCAGUAUUGUCGAUUGCUCUAGAAACCUUGCGUGAUUUGUUGUUGGAAGAGGCAAAGUUUUUAUAUGGCGUGGGGAUGAAGUGAAGGAGCUCGAUGGCAGCUGAAAGAGAUGAAGUGUCUCAUCAAAGAUGCCGAUAGAAGACGGCAUGAAAGCGAAACCAUUUUGAAUUGGAUCUCAGAUAUCAAAGAUCUUGUGCACAGAGCCGAAGCUGCCAUUGAAAGACAUGCAGCUUAUCAAGUGUGUUCAAGGAGAAGACGAGGCCGAGGCCUCACACAGCUCAUCCGCAGAUAUUCUUGUAUUUUGGAAGAUUGCUACUCGCUCCACCAACUAGGCUCGGAGAUUUCACCGAUCAAAUCCCGUCUUGAAAGGAUAAACAAGGAAAUGUUAAAAAGUGGCAUAAAGAAGAGCAUCAUCAACAAUACAGAUGAAGGGGAGAGCUCGUCCGCCAACAACAGAGCAAGGAAGAGUUUCCCUGAAUUCGAGAUCGGAGACUGUUUCGUGGGGAUGAAGGAUGAGCUGAAGCAGCUUGGUAAUCUCCUAAGGCAAGACAACGAGGAUAGAGUUAUAUCAGUGUGGGGAAUGGGGGGAUCAGGCAAGACCACCAUUGCCAAAAAGCUCUACAACGAGACCAACACCAGCUUUGAUCUUUGCGCAU